This 523-nucleotide ribosomal RNA is filed under the name uncultured bacterium. Its description in RNAcentral is "bacterial SSU rRNA". It matches the Rfam family "Bacterial small subunit ribosomal RNA", at positions 362 to 879 of the family's 1533-position model. The record is from RNAcentral.
UCUUCGGCAAUGGGCGCAAGCCUGACCGAGCGACGCCGCGUGCGGGAUGAAGGCCUUCGGGUUGUAAACCGCUGUCGUAGAGGAGGAAAUGCAGGGGGGUUCUCCCUUCUGUUUGACCUAUUCUAGGAGGAAGUACGGGCUAAGUUCGUGCCAGCAGCCGCGGUAAGACGAACCGUACAAACGUUACUCGGAAUUACUGGGCUUAAAGGGUGCGUAGGCUGCGCGGAAAGUUGGGUGUGAAAGCCCUCGGCUCAACCGAGGAAUUGCACUCAAAACUACCGUGCUUGAGGGAGACAGAGGUAAGCGGAACUCAAGGUGGAGCGGUGAAAUGCGUUGAUAUCUUGAGGAACACCGGUGGCGAAGGCGGCUUACUGGGUCUUUUCUGACGCUGAGGCACGAAAGCUAAGGUAGCAAACGGGAUUAGAUACCCCGGUAGCCUUAGCUGUAAACGAUGAGCACUUGAUUGGAGGGUCCUCCAUAGCCUUCCAGUCGUAGCGAAAGUGUUAAGUGCUCCGCCUGGGGA